RNAcentral lists this transfer RNA (69 nucleotides) under Fritziana sp. 1 MLL-2018. RNAcentral's name for it is "tRNA-Val". Lineage: Eukaryota; Metazoa; Chordata; Amphibia; Anura; Hemiphractidae. The record is from RNAcentral.
CGAAGCAUAGCUUAACCAAAGCACCCCGUUUACACCGGGAGAAUACCUGUGAGACCCAGGUUGUCUCGA